CUCGAGCGACGCACCUUCGCUCGAGCGACAGCUCAGCGAAACUCUAGCGACGUCUGUUCUGCAAUUUAGGCUCGAGCGAGGUCAGGGCGAAACUCUAGCGAAAUCAACGCGCCGUUUGCAUCUUCAAAGCAUCCCACUUUACCCUAGACCUAUGCUAUGAACUUUGCUAAAUUGCAACUUUAGUUCCUGAACUAUUAGACCUUUACAAUUUGGUCCUUGACUUUACAAUUUUGACAAAUAGGUCCUUUGGUCACAGAUUGCCAAUUACACAUUUUCUUAACAAACUCCUCCUUUGGCAUUCUGUGACAAAAAUACAUAUGACAGUCAAGGACAUAAAUAAAAAUGACUCCAAACAACCUAUCUAUUCAACCAAAGUAGCUAUCUCUUGUUAAACCUGUUUCCUGAAAAUCAAAAACUCAAAUACCAAGUGUAAAAGCAUGUGAAAUGGAAACAGUAAAUAAAAACAAGAAAUAGAUCAUACGUCAUUAACCAGAUUAAGAAACAAUAAUAAUGUAGGUCAAAAACAUACAUUAAUAUUGUCAAAACAUCAAAAACUUAAUCUAGUCGUGAAUUAUAUACACAUCAUCUUUAUAUCACAAUUACCAAAAAAUCGAUAUCUAUCUAUCCAAUGCUAUCCAAAAUAUCUACUCCCCCUUUUUGUCACGAAGGACAAAGGAUCAAAAACAAUCCACUAACUAACUAUGAGGCAGCACCUCCAGCAUCCGAAGACUCAACACCGCUCUCGCCACUCGUGCUCUCCUCUAUACUAUCACGAAUCCAGCGCAAAUGUUGCUGACACACGGCAAGAGCACGGCGAAAAGGAGAAAGCUCAGCUGAAUGACGCUCCGAAGCAGCACGUAACUGCGUGAUCUCAGCCAUCAUACGAGCCUGCUGCUCGACCAGUGUAGACAUCUGUCCCAUAAGCAUCACCGUGGGGGUCAAACGGGCAAAGCAGCCACGCCAGGAGCAGAAGUAGAUGUCGAAGGAAAGGUAGAGCUAAGCGGAAUAGCUAAAGGAGGAUCGGAACGAGAAGGAAGAAAGACACAAGAACCCCCAGUAAGAAUAUCAGUAAUAGGAUCAAGGGGCUCCGAAAAAUCAAAGACAUCAACAGGCUCAGCCUGAGCCGCAACAUGAGCAGAAGAGGAAGAAAACGGAACAUGGGAUCAACUCUGAUGAAUGGUCUGUUGUCCUAUCGGACAUCCUAUUCGACUAGUCGAACCCUCUGGAAAAGAAGUACCUAAAGACAAAGCAACCCUAUGAAUCAAGCAAGCAUAAGGCAACCCGAUCCGUCCCCCAGGAGUACGAAAUGAAGUCAGAAUCUGCUGGCACACAAAACUAGGAAGGUCGAUCGAGUCCCCAUGAAGAAGGGCAUAUAGAAAACGGGCCCUCACCAUAGGUAACGAAGACGUGUGGGCAACAGGCCACAGGUUUGUGCACAUGAUGUGUAACAAAACCUGACGAUCGGUGGGUAAAGAACCCUUGGCCAUCGCCGUAAGCCCCCCGACAGACGGGGUGUUCAAAAGCGUCGACCGAACAAGGGCAUCGACCGAAAUAGAAGCAGGUAGAAUAUAAGGAAAAGUCGGAUGGGUAAUCUAAGAUAUACCUAAAGCAUGAGCUACUACUGACGGAGUAACCCUAAAAGAAUGACCUCUAAGAAAAACUCUAAACGACGAGCCGUCUAUGUCAUGAAUAUUAGCAUAAAACUCCUGAACCAGGAGUGGGGGCGGAGGUGAAAGACCAACAAGAAGGGGCUCCCAACCUCGGGAAACAAAAAUGGCGGCUAUAUCAACAGGAAGGUCAGAUAAGAUUACCUCACGCUCCACAAGUACGGGGCGUAAGGAGAACUGAGAAGUGAAGACCUCCUAAACUGUAGCAGAAAUGAAUCGCGAUCGACUAUACGACGUCGAACCACUGGCCGGCUGCGCAGAGGGUCGAGAACGCUUACGGGCCAUCUGGCACACGUAGAGACAGAACUAAUGAGUAACAUGAAUAAUGCACGUAAUAUGAUGCAAUAUGAAAUGAAACAUUGCACACACAAAUGAGGCACGAAAGAAAUGCAUCGAAAAAUGUGAACGACCCUAAGAGCAAACCAAGCAUGACGAAAAGAUAAACCUAAAAUAUGUCCAAAAGCACUCAACAUGGCACGUGACGACAAUGAAACAAAGACGAAAUGGAAAGAAGGAAAACAGAAACACAAAAAAAACUAAGGGAAAACAAAAGUCAUAUAGCUAAGGACUUUCAUCGAACACGUGGCGUGCGACACUUUGGCACACAAUUCCAGGCGAGACUCGAGCGAAGUUCAAAUGUCAGAAAUAGCACUAAAUUUUGAAUAUUGAUAAAAAGAACACAAUUAUCAAGAAAUGACGAAAUUAGCCCCAAAUUGUGUAUUUUCAAAAAUAAGACAAGUGCAGAGCAUCGGAAACUAAUAAAAAAAAACGAAGCAUGUGACCAAUUAUGUAAACUAUACCAACAAUAAGCAUAAAGUCACAACCCCGACACUCAGCACAUAGACAACUCGUAAGUCCACAUAUAGUUCAAAAUCUCGUGGAGUAAAGUGUAUACAGAACAUCACCGUGAAAAGUGCCAUGCAGUCAAGACAAAUGGACACAUAACCCCAAUCACAGAAGAACACCAUCCCAAGUCUCACCCAUACGGUCAAGACUCACUCACAGGACUACAGUGUGUGCUGUGCAAAAAUGAAUGACGAGCCAUAUAAUCAGAACUCCACAAGCAAAGAGAACAAUGAUGGAACCUUAGACUUGUACAUAUGAUGAAAAAUAGAGUUUGAUCUUUAAUGCAAAAACUAUUAUCGUCACAUAAAAGGCACACACCCAAAAAACCCCCAUUUUAUUUUUAUUUAUUAUUAUUAUUAUUAAUUUUUUUUAAUUAAUUUUUUUUUAUUUUCAUAUUUAAACACACAAAAGAAGAUUAAACGACAAACUAACACUCAAAAAUGCAUCACACACACACAGAUCACAUGCAAGAUAUGAAGUGAUUAGAUGCAUAUGUAAUGAAUGCAUGAAUAUACAUGAAUCCACGAUCAGAUAGGUGAACAAACACCAACAGCCGUCCGAAGCGACUUAAACCUCAAUCCAUCUAAUGGUUUCGUAAGUAGAUCAGCCAAUUGAUUAUCAGUAGAGACGUGGUUUUGAGAGGGUUGAUGUUUUUAUUGAAAGAACCAUGAGAAUUAAAAGAUGAAAAGAAUGAAUAUUAGGUUCUUAAUCCUUUGGAAGUUGAGAGGAAUUCCUAUUUGAAUGUUUGCCAAAGGUCUUUAAUGAAAAUAGGACGUUUUGUUUAUAUAGUAGAUUGAAUUUGGUAAUAUGGAGCGUUAAAAAUUCGCGAGGCAUUAAAAUUACCAAAGGCCAGAUAACACCGUCGCUCGAGCGAGGUGCUGGCGAAACUCGAGCGACGCACCUUCGCUCGAGCGACGGCUCAGCAAAACUCUAGCGACGUCUGUUCUGCAAUUUAGGCUCGAGCGAGGUCAGGGCGAAACUCUAGCGAAAUCAACGCGCCGUUUGCAUCUUCAAAGCAUCCCACUUUACCCUAGACCUAUGCUAUGAACUUUGCUAAAUUGCAACUUUAGUCCCUGAACUAUUAGACCUUUACAAUUUGGUCCUUGACUUUAC
RNAcentral lists this long non-coding RNA (3626 nucleotides) under Olea europaea (common olive). RNAcentral's name for it is "long non-coding RNA (OEUR_LNC006869)". Lineage: Eukaryota; Viridiplantae; Streptophyta; Magnoliopsida; Lamiales; Oleaceae. The record is from RNAcentral.